Molecule: ribosomal RNA, 478 nt
Filed under: uncultured bacterium
Lineage: Bacteria
Description: bacterial SSU rRNA
Rfam family: Bacterial small subunit ribosomal RNA
Source: RNAcentral
AAUGAACGUUGGCGGCGUGGAUUAGGCAUGCAAGUCGAGCGAGAACCCGCAAGGGGGACAGCGGCAAACGGGGUAGGAAUGGUCGGUAACGUACCCUUCGGACGGGGAUAGCCACGGGAAACUGUGGGUAAUACCCGAUAACCUCCUUUCUUGUAACGGAGAGAGGAGCAAAGGUGAGAUUCCACCGGAGGAGCGGCUGACUUAGUAUUAGCUAGUUGGUGAGGUAAAAGCUUACCAAGGCAUCGAUGCUUAGGGGGUGUGAGAGCAUGGCCCCCACCACUGGGACUGAGAUACUGCCCAGACACCUACGGGUGGCUGCAGUCGAGGAUCUUCGGCAAUGGGCGCGAGCCUGACCGAGCGACGCCGCGUGUGGGAUGAAGGCCCUUGGGUUGUAAACCACUGUCAGGGGGGACGAAAUGCGCGCGGGUACUCCCGUGCGUUUGACAGGGCCCCAGAGGAAGCACGGGCUAAGUUCGUG